This 584-nucleotide ribosomal RNA is filed under the name uncultured Bacteroidales bacterium. RNAcentral describes it as "bacterial SSU rRNA". It matches the Rfam family "Bacterial small subunit ribosomal RNA", at positions 152 to 732 of the family's 1533-position model. Lineage: Bacteria; Pseudomonadati; Bacteroidota; Bacteroidia; Bacteroidales. The record is from RNAcentral.
UGAAAGGAAGAUUAAUCCAGGAUGGGAUCAUGAGUUCACAUGUCCGCAUGAUUAAAGGUAUUUUCCGGUAGACGAUGGGGAUGCGUUCCAUUAGAUAGUAGGCGGGGUAACGGCCCACCUAGUCAACGAUGGAUAGGGGUUCUGAGAGGAAGGUCCCCCACAUUGGAACUGAGACACGGUCCAAACUCCUACGGGAGGCAGCAGUGAGGAAUAUUGGUCAAUGGGCGAUGGCCUGAACCAGCCAAGUAGCGUGAAGGAUGACUGCCCUAUGGGUUGUAAACUUCUUUUAUAAAGGAAUAAAGUCGGGUAUGCAUACCCGUUUGCAUGUACUUUAUGAAUAAGGAUCGGCUAACUCCGUGCCAGCAGCCGCGGUAAUACGGAGGAUCCGAGCGUUAUCCGGAUUUAUUGGGUUUAAAGGGAGCGUAGAUGGAUGUUUAAUUCAGUUGUGAAAGUUUGCGGCUCAACCGUAAAAUUGCAGUUGAUACUGGAUGUCUUGAGUGCAGUUGAGGCAGGCGGAAUUCGUGGUGUAGCGGUGAAAUGCUUAGAUAUCACGAAGAACUCCGAUUGCGAAGGCAGCCUGCUAA